This 280-nucleotide long non-coding RNA is filed under the name Homo sapiens (human). RNAcentral's name for it is "HSALNT0389487". Lineage: Eukaryota; Metazoa; Chordata; Mammalia; Primates; Hominidae. The record is from RNAcentral.
GCGAUCCUCCUACUUCAGCCUCCUGAGCAGCUAAGGACUACAGGAACUGCUUCCUGUCUGACCCACUGCAGUGGUGGAGAGGAUCAAGGGAAAUAAUGAUCAUGGAUGUGCUUAGGAGACGUAAGAUUUUACUAAGAAUUGCUGUGAGCUGGGCACCCUUCUACGCUCUGCAGACACCAUGGCUAGUAAGACAGGCAAAGACCUGCCAUCUGGAGCUUGUUUGGAUAUAGGGUAGGGGGACGGGGAGAAGGGAGAUAAACAAUAAACAAGUAAAUUUACA